This is a long non-coding RNA of Pipistrellus kuhlii (Kuhl's pipistrelle), 2973 nucleotides long. RefSeq lists it as uncharacterized. NCBI's taxonomy places the organism in Eukaryota, Metazoa, Chordata, Mammalia, Chiroptera, Vespertilionidae. The record is from RefSeq and is a predicted model, not a curated record. The transcript has 3 exons.
CUAGAGUUGAUCGCAAACGAAUUGGUUGGCUCUCUGGGCGGCGCAGGGCUCGGGCUUGUACUGGCCCACUGGCCUGCCUCUGCCCUUGCCUCUGAGGCGGCCCACGCGGGGCCUGGCAUUCAUUCGUUCUCCCGGGGGCCCUUGUGUGCAACCUGGUGCGGCUUAGCAAGCCCCACCUGGCGGGCUCCGCUCCGCUCCGCAGGUGUCUUCAACCUCUUCCUCGGGCUGCCGCCCCACUCUCGCGAGAGAAAAGCGUUGUGAGGCUCACGCUCCGAUUUCCGCUUGCCGCGUCCCGGAAGGCUAUUCGCGCAGAGGGCGGGCGCCUUUGCUGUGCGGUUGACACUCGUUCUCCGUGUUGCAGGCCGUGCAAGACACGCUCGGAGGCUUGACAGGGGCCAAAUACACGACCUCGUGUAUCUUGAAAGGGAUUGGGGGCUGCAAGGUCACCCCAGGCCAGUCUGCUGGCAGCCCCACUCCCACCGGCACAGAGCAGAGCGAUUGGGGCCACCAGCAAGCGGUGCGAGUGGCAGCUACUGCCCCAGUUGCCCCGCAGGAGCGAGCAGGAGGAGGUGGAGAAACCCUCAGGAGCACCGGGGCCAGCGGCCGGCACUGGCAGCGGGGGCGAAUGACAGAGACCAGCACCCCAAGCUGGGCGGGUGCCCCUGAGUACCAAGCCAACAAGCCAAGAGACUGACUGGGCGUGCAGGCCCACGGCCCACGGGGAAGGAGAAGGAGAAGGCUUACGGAAUUUCAGGACAUCUGCUCCCCCCCCCCAACCUCAGGAACCAUGGUGACUCCGAUGCAUGAGCACGUGUGUUUGAUGCUGCUGCUAUGGAAACGGUAGCAUCGGGUCUGAUGGGUGAGAAGGCCACCCUUUCAGAGGCAAGGAUUGUGAAAACCAAUGAGCGCCUGGUGAUGAAUCAGAAUAGAGGGAGUGGGAAGACCUAACCGACCCACACGCGGGUUUCUGCUCACUCACUCACUCACUCACUCCAGGCCUGAGGUCACUCGGGGCUAAUCCUCCUCCGGGAAGCACCUCUGCCCCCGGGAAAACCGAUCGCGUGUUCGUUUGCCCCGUUCCGUUCUGGAAGCUUAAAAGUGGUUCCCGUCCCCUAACCCCCCAUAAGCCCAUUCCCAUCCAACGCUCCUUACUCUCAACCCCAGCCUCCAUUUGCCAUCGGUACUGACGAUAGGUCCUCCCUUCCUGCAACUGAUGGAUGGCCUGUGGCUGCCGCUGAGUUUGCAUAGUAAUUUUUUUUCUUCCCUUAGCACACACUGACCGGUGGCGUGGCUGUGGGUGGUGCUGGCAGGCCCCGCCCUGUGCAGCUCCUCCCAGUGGGCCAUUCCUGCCCGAGAAUUCUAACCACCCCCGUGGCCCCCCGCAAAGGAAUUCCCAGGAAGCUGGCCAUUUCCCUUCUCACUCUCUGAUGGUUCUCAAAUUGAAAACCGCAGAGGCUCUUUCUCUCCGUUCCCUCUUAACCAGCAGCUGCCUCCUCCCCAGUCCCGGAGAGCUCAAAUCCGGAGAACCUGAGCUCCAAAGCAGCCUUUCCCAUCUAACACGUCCUCAGCUCAGGCCCAAAGACCGCCUUCCUCAUCGGCCUCUUCUAUUCCCGCGUCCACCCCACCCCUGAGGGAGGCAGCAGGCGCUGAGGGCGCAGUCCGAGGCCACAUCCCGUUCUCUAUGUCCAGCCUCACAGACUGAGAGGCAUCUCGGGUUUCUUUUUCCGCUGAACUAGAUGCAGGUCCACAAACCCCUCAAAAAGACCUCGUUAGCCUGACCUCUAAGGUCUUUGAUAACAGAGACGAGGAGACCCAGAUCCAACAACAAGGCGAGAUCAGGCCCGGGCUGAGGCCCAGCAGGAGGCCCUCCAGCUCCUAGCCACCGCUUUCAAACCCCAAAGGAAGUGCCGGUCCUCCAACCGUGCGUAACUCAGGGGCUGAGCCCCCUCUGGGCCCACGCCUCAAAUGCAGCACGGAAGGACAAUGGCCAAGUCCUGCUCUGACCCGAGAUCCCCGCCUGGACCCUGCCCGAGGCGCGGAAGGGAAGGCCAUUGGAAAUCAGACUGUCACCUGGCUCCUCCGGGUCAGGCCUCACCUCAGCCAGUCCAGCAUGGCCGCCCUCUGGAUCCGGUUUGGACCUCCCAGACCUCCUGGGACUGGCCGCCGAAGAAGCUGCCCAGGCCCUGACAGGGCCCCACAGACUUCUAUCACCAGGACAGAGCCUCGGGGAACGACUGCGGUGGCAGGUAAGCCCAUCUCUUUCUUCAUGGACACCGGGGCCGCUCAUUCUGCCCUCCUAAUUUGCUGGGACCCUCGUCCACUCCUCAGUCUCUAUUAUGGGGGUUGACGGAUCAGUCUCACAGCCAUUAGCCACCUCCAAUUCCCCCAUUCACUCUUUUCUCAUUCUUCCUCGGUGCCCGGCCAGGUCUACCGUGCAUCCCCUCGUAAAACCCAGUUGUCCCAAACCACAGUCACCUACCUCAGUUUCCCUCUCUCAGCCCACAAGGCCGAGCCAUUCCUGGGACUGUAAACGCCUCAUCUCUUUAUCUCCUCUAUCUAUAAGAAGAAUGUGCCCUUUAAAACCGAAGCGGCUAAAGGAGGCCUGGCUAGCCUGGCAACAGGCUGCGGAGCCUGCUCCCCCACCCCCCUUAGAAGUUACUCUGAGCAAGAAAGUGAGGCUUCAGUCCCCGAGCCUGGCAGGACAAGGUUGCUGGACGCUCCUUAAGCUAAACCAGAAUAAUCAGUGUCUAACCUCUUAUCCAACCAUCCCUGUGCCUGGCUUUCACUACUCCUUUCCUUCCUUUUCCCUCCCACUUUCACUGCAGUACAAUCUCAAUCACUCAUCUGUCACCUCUUAUUGGUAGCGCCAUGGUGACUACUCUCUCAGCUUGGAGUGCGGAACUAGAAAAAGGAAUCGCAUACCCUUUAGCCCACCUCUUCUCCUUACACCUUCCAGCUUGUCUCCGUGAUAGG